RNAcentral lists this ribosomal RNA (522 nucleotides) under uncultured Glomus. RNAcentral's name for it is "SSU rRNA". It matches the Rfam family "Eukaryotic small subunit ribosomal RNA", at positions 569 to 1092 of the family's 1831-position model. Lineage: Eukaryota; Fungi; Glomeromycota; Glomeromycetes; Glomerales; Glomeraceae. The record is from RNAcentral.
AGCAGCCGCGGUAAUUCCAGCUCCAAUAGCGUAUAUUAAAGUUGUUGCAGUUAAAAAGCUCGUAGUUGAAUUUCGGGGUUAGUAGGCUGGUCAUGCCACAGGUAUGUACUGGUCUCACUGAUUCCUCCUUCCUGAUGACCCGUAAUGCCAUUAAUUUGGUGUUGCGAGGAAUCUGGACUGUUACUUUGAAAAAAUUAGAGUGUUUAAAGCAGGCUAACGCUUGAAUACAUUAGCAUGGAAUAAUGAAAUAGGACGUUCGAUCCUAUUUUGUUGGUUUCUAGGAUUGACGUAAUGAUUAAUAGGGAUAGUUGGGGGCAUUAGUAUUCAAUUGUCAGAGGUGAAAUUCUUGGAUUUAUUGAAGACUAACUACUGCGAAAGCAUUUGCCAAGGAUGUUUUCAUUAAUCAAGAACGAAAGUUAGGGGAUCGAAGACGAUCAGAUACCGUCGUAGUCUUAACCAUAAACUAUGCCGACUAGGGAUCGGAUGAUGUUAAUUUUUUAAUGACUCAUUCGGCGCCUUACG